CCCCUCUCUGGGUCGCACCUGGUGAGUUUCCAGAACUCUACCGGCCUCGACUACGGGAGGGAGAGUCAAGCAGAGGCCUACCCAUUCCAUUCCUAGCUCGUGCAGUAGCUAGCGAGUGGAAGGCAAUCCGCUACAAGU
Non-coding RNA from Ornithorhynchus anatinus (platypus), 138 nucleotides. Lineage: Eukaryota; Metazoa; Chordata; Mammalia; Monotremata; Ornithorhynchidae. The record is from Rfam.